UCAACGGAGCCUAUUGUAUCACGGGACACGCAUGGCUACACUCUGGUCUUAGAGCGUUGGUGCGGACUUUCGCUCGGUGCUCUAUGCACCUGUUCCUCCCGCCUGCUCAAACUUCUUUCCUAUUUAUGAAGAGGGGGGCGUCCCCAUCUCCCGGAAGCAAGGAGAUGCGAGAGGACGGCGCCAGUUUAGGUGCAGCUAAAGGUAAUGGAAGCUGAUCCGGAGCCUGAGACCCAUCAGAGGCUCACGUGACGGUCUAAGGGCUACCACUGCCUACUAAGGUUCCCCGCCACCGAGGGAUCACGUGACAGAUGGCCGGCUCAGCUGUCACGUGAUGCCGCGUCGCGCGCGACUUUGCGCUGGAGAGUGCUAGUUCUGGACUGUGUGUCUUUGCCUCCGCGGCGGCUUUGGUCCCCUUCCUUUGCCGCAUGCGCAACACACGACUGCCUCCUGCGUUGUCCCGCGAGCCACACUUCCGCCAUUUCUUCCUCCCGGGUCCAGAGCUGUGUGUCCGCUUGUCUGCCCCUCUUGGGCUCUGGGGGAGAAGGUGAUUGGGGAACCGGAGGUCAGGGGUGUCGGGACAAGAGGUCUUCGCCCGCAUCUGCUGAGACUGUCGUGAUCGCCAUGCUGAGGGUUGGGGAAGAGUGCCACAGGCCAGCGGCGGUCCCAGGGAUUCUGUCUUGUGUAACGUGCUCUUGAGAGAGCUGGAGUGAGGAGCGUGCGUCCUGGUGAGUCAUGAUGCGACCACGUCACCGUCACCUUCUCUCUCCCUUGGGACUUCCUGGGAGUGAGCCGGUGUCCUAGGAGCUUAUUCUCAUCCUUAGGAGAAUCAUCGUCUCCCUCUCCUCCGCUAAGGGGUUUCGGGCCUUACACGACUUUUUUCUGGAUUUCUGACCAUUAGCCUCUACAUCCGCCGAGGCUUAACUCUAAGCUGACCUCCCACCGGUACUGGACCUGCGCCAUGGCCCUUAUGGGUAUAUAAAGUAUAACUAUAAAUUGACCUGGAUUUUUUAGAUUUUUAGCUCCCCAGUUCAAAACAUACCUUCCUUGUCCUUGAUUUCCAUCCCUACAUCAUGGUAGUAGGACUAAUCCACCAUUACAGUCCACCACUACCGUCUGUAGACAUUUAUACUGCUGGACGUGGCAUCUCCCAUCCGCUCCUCUUAUGAUAUUUGACAUAAUAUUAUCUGGCUACUGUAUCGAAACAAAUGCUUCCAAAAUCUCAAAAGUAUUUUCCUCUGGUUAUUAGGUGUACUGUUUAUUAAAACUUUUUUUUUCUUUGUACUACCUUGGUAUUACCAAACAAUUCAAACCUGAUCCUUACAAGAACAGUAUUUUUUAUUAUUACUAAGAAGACUAUUUUAAAGUGAAGUUGUCUCUGCACCAGACAUGCAACAGCGAAAUUCCUGUUUUAGCAAAUAAAGAUGAGGCUGUCUGAUCAUUUCAAAUGUCAUGAAAAAGUAAUACUUUUAAAUGCUUAAAAAUAAAACAAAUAGCUGCCUGUCUGUCUUUUAAGUUUAGCUUGUUGAAAACACUUUUAUGAACCAGUCUAGCACAUUGUGAAAUGUUUUUAUUGAAUGAAUGAAUGACUCCUCUAUGUCAGGUUUAAAGAUAAAGUAUAUGAUUUAUCUGUCCAGUGCACAUGUUGGUAGCCUUGUGUUAAUGCUCUUGGUAGGUCUGCAGUUCAAAACAAUGUUCUUUCACUCUGAACCAUGGAAUAAAGCAUUCAGUGCACUUCUUAUCACAUUAUCAGGAGUUGUUAUAAAUGGAUCUCCUGCUUUUUCUUCAUAGUUAAGCAAACUUAAUUCUAAGGAAUUACUCUCAAAACUUCUGCUACUAAAGAACAAGAGAAGUUGGUAGGGAAAUGGAAAGACAAAAGUUCUGAUGAUUUGCCCUUAAUUUCACCAAGUUAAGUCAACUUCAAGAGUCCUCUUGUCAGAAAGUCUAACAUGGAUCGGUGGGGUCUUGCUCCAUGCAUUUACUCAAGGAACCUGGCUUCUGCCUAGUGCGUCUACCACCUUCAAGGC
Long non-coding RNA from Balaenoptera acutorostrata (minke whale), 2024 nucleotides. RefSeq lists it as uncharacterized. The transcript has 3 exons. NCBI's taxonomy places the organism in Eukaryota, Metazoa, Chordata, Mammalia, Artiodactyla, Balaenopteridae. The record is from RefSeq and is a predicted model, not a curated record.